RNAcentral lists this ribosomal RNA (472 nucleotides) under uncultured bacterium. RNAcentral describes it as "bacterial SSU rRNA". It matches the Rfam family "Bacterial small subunit ribosomal RNA", at positions 355 to 825 of the family's 1533-position model. The record is from RNAcentral.
UGGGGAAUAUUGGACAAUGGGCGAAAGCCUGAUCCAGCCAUGCCGCGUGUGUGAAGAAGGUCUUCGGAUUGUAAAGCACUUUAAGUUGGGAGGAAGGGCAGUUACCUAAUACGUGAUUGUUUUGACGUUACCGACAGAAUAAGCACCGGCUAACUUUGUGCCAGCAGCCGCGGUAAUACAGAGGGUGCAAGCGUUAAUCGGAAUUACUGGGCGUAAAGCGCGCGUAGGUGGUUAGUUAAGUUGGAUGUGAAAUCCCCGGGCUCAACCUGGGAACUGCAUUCAAAACUGACUGACUAGAGUAUGGUAGAGGGUGGUGGAAUUUCCUGUGUAGCGGUGAAAUGCGUAGAUAUAGGAAGGAACACCAGUGGCGAAGGCGACCACCUGGACUGAUACUGACACUGAGGUGCGAAAGCGUGGGGAGCAAACAGGAUUAGAUACCCAGGUAGUCCCUGAGCGGGCUGGCAAGGCGCAU